GACGAACGCUGGCGGCGCGCCUAACACAUGCAAGUCGAGGGGCAGCAUUAUCUUAGCUUGCUAAGAUAGAUGGCGACCGGCGCACGGGUGAGUAACGCGUAUCCAACCUUCCGGUUACUCGGGGAUAGGCUUUCGAAAGAAAGACUAAUACCCGAUGUUGCGUAUCUUUCUCCUGAAAGAUACGCCAAAGGAUUCCGGUAACCGAUGGGGAUGCGUUCCAUUAGGCAGUUGGCGGGGUAACGGCCCACCAAACCUUCGAUGGAUAGGGGUUCUGAGAGGAAGGUCCCCCGCAUUGGAACUGAGACACGGUCCAA
This 314-nucleotide ribosomal RNA is filed under the name uncultured bacterium. RNAcentral describes it as "bacterial SSU rRNA". It matches the Rfam family "Bacterial small subunit ribosomal RNA", at positions 28 to 334 of the family's 1533-position model. The record is from RNAcentral.